UGGGGAAUAUUGGACAAUGGGCGCAAGCCUGAUCCAGCCAUGCCGCGUGAGUGAUGAAGGCCUUAGGGUUGUAAAGCUCUUUUACCAGGGAAGAUAAUGACGGUACCUGGAGAAUAAGCCCCGGCUAACUUCGUGCCAGCAGCCGCGGUAAUACGAAGGGGGCUAGCGUUGCUCGGAAUCACUGGGCGUAAAGCGCACGUAGGUGGGUCGUUAAGUCGGGGGUGAAAUCCUGGAGCUCAACUCCAGAACUGCCUUCGAUACUGGCGAUCUUGGAGUCCGGGAGAGGUGAGUGGAACUGCGAGUGUAGAGGUGAAAUUCGUAGAUAUUCGCAAGAACGCCAGUGGCGAAGGCGGCUCACUGGCCCGGUACUGACACUGAGGUGCGAAAGCGUGGGGAGCAAACA
This 403-nucleotide ribosomal RNA is filed under the name uncultured bacterium. RNAcentral describes it as "bacterial SSU rRNA". It matches the Rfam family "Bacterial small subunit ribosomal RNA", at positions 355 to 774 of the family's 1533-position model. The record is from RNAcentral.